CUCUCACCUGAUUCCUGACAGCUCUGCUCUCUGUUCAAUGGUUUGAAUCCAUUCUCUGUUCUCCUCGACACAUCCACUGGAGUCUGCAAUGCUGCUGAAGACUUCAGGUCAAACCUGAAUGUUGAAAUAUUUGCAUGUCUUCUAUUUCUCUCACUGUUUCAUGCAGUAGUCUUGUUCUACUUCAUGUCACAGGAAACAGCAGAUAUCAUCGGCACGAUCACAGAAGUGGUUUGAGGGGGAAAGAUAAGAGCCAAGCUCACAUAGAUGAAGUGGGCAGGGCUUCCAUACAUGGCUUGUCACCGAAAACAAAGAAAUAAUAAACACAGUUUCCAUGAAAAUA
This is a long non-coding RNA of Carassius carassius (crucian carp), 340 nucleotides long. RefSeq lists it as uncharacterized. The record is from RefSeq and is a predicted model, not a curated record. The transcript has 2 exons. NCBI's taxonomy places the organism in Eukaryota, Metazoa, Chordata, Actinopteri, Cypriniformes, Cyprinidae.